GCCAGCAGCCGCGGUAAUACGGAGGGGGUUAGCGUUGUUCGGAAUUACUGGGCGUAAAGCGUACGUAGGCGGAUUAAUAAGUUAGAGGUGAAAUCCCAGGGCUCAACCCUGGAACUGCCUUUAAAACUGUUAGUCUUGAGAUCGAGAGAGGUGAGUGGAAUUCCAAGUGUAGAGGUGAAAUUCGUAAAUAUUUGGAGGAACACCAGUGGCGAAGGCGGCUCACUGGCUCGAUACUGACGCUGAGGUACGAAAGUGUGGGGAGCAAACAGGAUUAGAUACCCUGGUAGUCCACACCGUAAACGAUGAAUGCCAGACGUCAGCAAGCAUGCUUGUUGGUGUCACACCUAACGGAUUAAGCAUUCCGCCUGGGGAGUACGGUCGCAAGAUUAAAACUCAAAGGAAUUG
This 405-nucleotide ribosomal RNA is filed under the name uncultured bacterium. RNAcentral describes it as "bacterial SSU rRNA". It matches the Rfam family "Bacterial small subunit ribosomal RNA", at positions 507 to 912 of the family's 1533-position model. The record is from RNAcentral.